Non-coding RNA from Penaeus vannamei (Pacific white shrimp), 1268 nucleotides. NCBI's taxonomy places the organism in Eukaryota, Metazoa, Arthropoda, Malacostraca, Decapoda, Penaeidae. The record is from RefSeq and is a predicted model, not a curated record.
CUCGGCUGGCACUACAUGGCACGAAUCACGAAUUUAAAAACGUUCACCUGAUACCGAUUAAAAGCACCAAAGUUAUAAGAGAAGAGACUCCCUUUAGCGACUUACUCCCGAAACAUGUUCAAGACGUGCUGGUUCCUGCCUCUCCUUCUCCUGGCCUCUGGCCAAGAGUCCUGCGAUUUCCUGUGUCCUUACCACAUCGACCCCGUGUGCGGAUCCGACGGCGUGACUUAUCCGAAUCUCUGCGUUCUGGAAUUGGCCGACUGCUUGAGCGAUGAAGACAUUACACUGGCCCACCCGGGAGCCUGCGAGGCCAACGGGGAAGCGUGCGACACGGUCUGUUCCACGAACUACGACCCCGUGUGCGGCUCCGACGGCGCCACGUACCCCAACCUGUGCGAGCUGGAGCGAGCGAGCUGCCUCAGCGAAGAGGACAUCACGGCGGCCUACGAGGGUGAGUGCAAAGACUGCGGUUUCCCUUGCCAGGACAUCUACGACCCCGUGUGCGGCUCCGACGGCGCCACGUACCCCAACCUGUGCGAGCUGGAGCGAGCGAACUGCCUCAGCGAAGAGGACAUCGCGAUGGCAUACCCAGGAGAGUGCAAAGUGACCCCUGGAAACUGUAACCUUGGAUGCCCCGGGAACUAUGACCCUGUGUGUGGGUCAGACGGGGUCACGUAUCCCAACUUGUGUGCCCUAGAGGUAGCUGACUGUCUCAGUGAUGAAGAUAUUACAUUGGCCUACGAAAGUGUGAGUGCAAAGACGCAGCGAAGGACGACUGUGGUUUCCCUUGCCCGGACAACUACGACCCCGUGUGCGGCUCCGACGGCGCCACGUACCCCAACCUGUGCGAGCUGGAGCGAGCGAGCUGCCUCAGCGAAGAGGACAUCACGGCGGCCUACGAGGGUGAGUGCAAAGACUGCGGUUUCCCUUGCCAGGACAUCUACGACCCCGUGUGCGGCUCCGACGGCGCCACGUACCCCAACCUGUGCGAGCUGGAGCGAGCGAACUGCCUCAGCGAAGAGGACAUCGCGAUGGCUCACCCGGGCGAGUGCAGCUCCUGUGACCUUGGCUGCAGCGGCCUGUGGGACCCCGUGUGUGGCACGGACGGCGUGACCUACUCUAACCUGUGUCAACUUGAGAUCGCCAGUUGCCUCGGGGGAGAUGUUAGCCUGGCGCACGAGGGACCCUGCUGACCGGCCGCGGCGACACCACGUCUGGAACCCCCUUCCUCUCUUAAAAAAAAAAAAAAAAAAAAAAAAAAAAAAAAA